CACGUAGGGUGCGAGCGUUGUCCGGAAUUAUUGGGCGUAAAGAGCUCGUAGGCGGUGUGUCGCGUCGGCCGUGAAAACCUGCAGCUUAACUGUGGGCUUGCGGUCGAUACGGGCAUCACUGGAGUUCGGCAGGGGAGACUGGAAUUCCUGGUGUAGCGGUGAAAUGCGCAGAUAUCAGGAGGAAUACCGAUGGCGAAGGCAGGUCUCUGGGCUGACACUGACGCUCAUGCACGAAAGCGUGGGGAGCAAACAGG
This 254-nucleotide ribosomal RNA is filed under the name uncultured bacterium. Its description in RNAcentral is "partial 16S ribosomal RNA". It matches the Rfam family "Bacterial small subunit ribosomal RNA", at positions 524 to 776 of the family's 1533-position model. The record is from RNAcentral.